RNAcentral lists this long non-coding RNA (844 nucleotides) under Ictidomys tridecemlineatus (thirteen-lined ground squirrel). RNAcentral's name for it is "lncRNA (ENSSTOG00000030270.1)". The record is from RNAcentral. Lineage: Eukaryota; Metazoa; Chordata; Mammalia; Rodentia; Sciuridae.
UCACCACUAGGGCAGAAACACCCUGAACAGAGGCUAGGCAGGACCAGGGGCUCCCUGCCAGCUUCCAGGCUCUCUGUUUACCUGCUCUCCACAGGAUCUCAUGGAGGACAGCAACAGGGGCUUCCAAUCAAGAGCAGUGCUGGAAGGGCCAGGGCCAAGCACCAGUGGGAACGAGCUUGGCCUCAGGGCACAGUCCCCAGAGAGCUUGGAGGACACCCUAGAGCCAGACUGCCUAGAUGAGGACUCCUCUUUCACAUCCAGCACAUCCAGUUCCUCCACCAAAGAGGAGACGGACGUAAUGUGGAGAAGGGUGAUGUCCUCACUCAUUGGAAUACAGCGGCUUCAUAAUCCUGCUCGGAACAUCCAUUGCCAUGUCUAUGUGACAGACCAUGACUUGGAAUAUGAAGACCACCACAUCCAGGGCUUUAUUGAAAACCCAGAGCCCAUGGAGGGAAAGGCCAAAUGUGAGAAGGUCUGGGUGGUGGCUGUGAGCAUAUGGGGAUGGGACGGGGCUGGACAUGCAGAGCACAUCUUCCAGAAACAGAGACGGGGCAGAAACAAUGAGAAGCACAGCUGUCAUUCUCUGCAUGCAUUCUGGGGACACUCUCAAGGACUGGGUUUGUGUGUGGAUCUCUGAGGAAGGCAGUGGAAAGCAUUUUGUCCCUGGAGGGAACAUGGAUAGUUGGCAACUUUUACUCUGCUUGCACAUGCAGGGCCACUUCUGGUGACUGAGGAGACAACUGGCCAAUUUCCACCAUCUGGGAGAGCACUACAGCUGGAAACGCCUGAAAUGUCAUCUCCAGGCCAGCAGCUCCUGGUGACCCCUCCGCCAGCAAAACCCACU